ACAGAGGGUGUCACCCAGAGACCACUGCAGUGCUGGGCACUCACCACCCCCUGAGACAACCCUUUCCUGGGGAAGAGCCCGCAGAGCUGAAAAAGUCCCUCCCCUAGUGACCCAACCUCCUCUGGGCCAUGGUCCACCCAGAGUGCAGAGUGCAGACCAUCUUCUGGAGCAAAUGGCUACCAGGGUCUGACCCCACCACAGCCGCUCCAGCCGCAGGCACACUUGCUCACGCUGACCCCCGCAGGUGUUGUGAGGUGACCCUGCCCCCCUUUGCGCCCUCCUAGAAUGGCACAGGGUCUCCAGAGGCCCCGCCCCACAGAUAGCAGGUGGAGAGCAGGGGCCAGAGCUGCCCACAUCCUGCAGGGCAGCACUCAGUCCACGGCCACAGCGCAGGCUGCAAGCUGGUACUUGCACCCUGUUCCUGGGCACCGACAUCCAGACCUGAAGUGGUGUCUCCACUCACUCCUGCUGCACCUCACCCCCUGGCCAUCUCCCGCCAGCUCCGCCCUCCGAACUCGGCUGCACCAGCGCAGCAUGAGAACCUCACCAGCACGGCCUGCUGAACAGGCAGAACUGAGCUUCCCCUGGGCAGGCCUCCUGCCCGCGACACCAGCACCGUCCCUAGGAGCACCCGUCCUGCAGCAGUAGCAACGGUCAUCCCUUUCUUCACCGCCGGGAUGGCUGCAGCCGUCCACUGUGUGCUUGCGUUUGGGUUAUUUCCAGUCUGGGAAUGUUGCAGACCAGCCUGUUAGAACCCCUCAAUGGACACGUUUUAUUAUUAAAAAUAAGUGAACGGGGCAAA
Ictidomys tridecemlineatus (thirteen-lined ground squirrel) is the source of this 802-nucleotide non-coding RNA. The record is from RefSeq and is a predicted model, not a curated record. Lineage: Eukaryota; Metazoa; Chordata; Mammalia; Rodentia; Sciuridae.